Molecule: transfer RNA, 76 nt
Filed under: Gammaproteobacteria bacterium
Lineage: Bacteria; Pseudomonadati; Pseudomonadota; Gammaproteobacteria
Description: tRNA-His
Rfam family: tRNA
About the family: Transfer RNA (tRNA) molecules are approximately 80 nucleotides in length. Their secondary structure includes four short double-helical elements and three loops (D, anti-codon, and T loops).
Source: RNAcentral
GUGGGCGUAGCUCAGCGGGUAGAGCUCUGGAUUGUGGAUCCAGUGGUCGUGGGUUCGAACCCCAUCGUCCACCCCA